AGGUCAAAGCGGCCUCGGCCGCUCCUCUACCAAGUGCCUUCUAAGCACUUGGCCGCAGGUUCGAGUCCUGCCGGGG
Molecule: transfer RNA, 76 nt
Filed under: Streptomyces sp. SID8375
Lineage: Bacteria; Bacillati; Actinomycetota; Actinomycetes; Kitasatosporales; Streptomycetaceae
Description: tRNA-Arg
Source: RNAcentral